This is a non-coding RNA of Punica granatum (pomegranate), 1962 nucleotides long. NCBI's taxonomy places the organism in Eukaryota, Viridiplantae, Streptophyta, Magnoliopsida, Myrtales, Lythraceae. The record is from RefSeq and is a predicted model, not a curated record.
AACAGGCCGCCCAUGUCGUCACAGAAAUUCGAAAUGUAAGCCCAUGCUUGGCUAAUGACCGUUCAGAAAUUCCUUUUUUUAUUCCCAAACAAAAAAAUGACAUCGUUUGGAUGUCUUGCCCUCAAUUUCAUAUUUCAAACCAUAAUUUCCCUCCCCACAUGACCAAACGAUGCGUUUCCUCUUUUCCCUCCCUUAACUUACUGUAAAUCUCGUCAUCCCCCCAUUUGAGCCCUAUCUUGCAGAAAUUUCCAGCAGCAACUCUGAAGACAAUUAAAGAGUGGUGAAAUCGAUAGGGGCAAUUCGUGUCACGUGAACGUUGGACCACCUCGAGUGGUGAGAAGGGGCUUUUGCCAGCAAUCCAAGAGUUGGCUCCAAGAGCAUCUCAUAGGUUUUGUGCAAAGUAUUUGAAGGCGAAUUUGUUCAUAGGUUUUGUGCAAAGUAUUUGAAGGCAAAUUUGUGCAACUCGAAAAACAAAGAGUUGAAGAAUAAGUUUUGGGCUUUUGCCAAGUCAAGGACUAUGCCCGAGUUACAAAAGCAUCUUGAAAAGAUGAAGGAAAUUAAUCAGGAUGCAUGGUCCUACCUCAGUAAACUGGAGCCAAAAUCAUGGUCAAGAACAGGUUUUACGUCCUUCACUAAAAACCAAAGUCUGUUGAACAACAUGUUAGAGCAAUUCAACUCUGCAAUUGUGAAGUAUAGAUGGAAACCUGUCAUUACUAUGUUGGAGGAAAUUAGGACAUAUAUUAUGAGAAAGAUGAAUGACAGUAGAGACUUGAUAGCCAAGUACAAGGGUCCAAUCACACUUACGGCUCAAUCAAAGCUUGAGAAAGCCAAGAAGGAUAGCACCUACUGGCAUCCUAUAUGGGCUGGUGAUGGAGAUCAAUCAAUCUAUCAGGUGCAACAUAUCCAUAUGAGUGGUGAGAAGCAUGUGGUUGAUUUGAAGAAGGCUGCUUGCUCAUGCAAAGAAUGGGAUUUAUGUGGAAUCCCAUGCUAGCAUGCAGUGGCUGCUAUGGGCAAAAAUAAUAUCGAGCCUGAGCAACUAGUGCAUCCCUGCUAUUCCAAGGAGACAUGAGAAAGUAUUUAUGCCUCUUAUAUUCAACCAGUGGGGCAAGAGCAGUGAGAUAAGCAAGGCUUAGAACCUGUUUUACCUCCUCAUUACAAGAGGGUGGUGGUCGUCCUAAGAAACAUAGGAAAAAGGACAAUGAUGAGCCAAAGAACCCAUACAAGGCAAAGAUGAAGCACAAGGCCAUAGUAUGUGGAAAGUGUGGUCAAGGAGGCCAUAACAUAAGAACAUGCAAGGGCACAACUAUCAAGCAGAAACAAGCAAAAUGUGCUGCUGGAACAACUACAAACUCAGCCUCAGUUGCCCCCACCCAACCCACUCAGACUCAAUUAUCUGGCCCACAAUCACUUUUAACACAAGAGAAGAGAAAGAAGAGAGCCAAGAAAUCUGUUGGAAGUGCUACUAACCCAACCUCAAAUUCUCGGACCAUAAGUGAUAACAUGGAAUCCUCUCAGACUCAGGAAACUGGACCAAGAUCUUAGACUCAACAAAUUGGAAAUAAGAAGGUUUGAUGCUGAACUCAUAUGCAUUUGAAACAUCUUUGGUUAUUGUUGUAUUUAGUUAGCUGGCACUGUCUCAUUAUAAGGAAAGAAGUCAGAUAGGGCUUAGACUUGGCUCGAAGCAAUUGGAAUUCAAGCUGCAAUAUGGAUUUUAGAAAGAAGUGCACAAAUUAGUUUUUUCUGAGUAGUAUAGCUUUUGGUAUAUUGGGUAUGGGAGAACAAUUGUGUAUUUGGAAACCUUUAGCCUUUUGGUAUAUUAGGGAAUAGUAUAUUUGGUCCGCAUUUUGGCUUUUGGUAUAUGGACCAAUGAUUUGUGCACAACAUGUGCCAUAUAAAAUGGUUGAAAUACCUGUUACUGGUAUAUUAGAAGUUUAAUUUUGUACAUUAUUGUUGCCCUUUUGG